ACAAACACCUUUUUUGGUUCUUUCCUUGAGCCUUCUAUAUUUAUUCUCAACUAGAGAAAACACAAUAUAGUUCUGUUUCUUUAGCAAUUUUCUCAUUUUGUGAGUAAAUGAUUGCUCAUUUUACUCAUAAUCAAUUUCUCCCGUUUCAGCAAAAUCUUACAUUCAUCUACAGUAUUGUUAAAAGUCUGGAACACCCUCAUAUUGCACAGCUUGCCAGAAUCCCUCCUCUUUGGAUUAUCUGUCAUAUCUUAUUCAACCCAAGUACUUCUUUUUUUCUACUUUGCCAACUUGAUCUUGAUGCUUAUCUUAGCCAUGUUAAUAGUAAUGAAGCUGAGGCAUCGGUGUCUGCUAUCAAAGACUGAAGCUCAUGGGUUCUGAAUUCUAAUAUGAAACUAUCCUUGUUUUUGAGUCAACAAUGACAUCUAGCUUUUCUGGUUGUCUGCUGGCUAUCUGUAUAUAUUUUUGCAGACUGCAACUAAGAUUGCCUCUUGGAUGGUUUAAAACACUUUUGAUGCUCCUACUUAUCUUGUGUUGGAACUAACAUGGGUUCUAAUAUUUCAAUAUAUAUUAAAGUUUGUUUUAAAUUUGU
Long non-coding RNA from Solanum pennellii, 589 nucleotides. RefSeq lists it as uncharacterized. NCBI's taxonomy places the organism in Eukaryota, Viridiplantae, Streptophyta, Magnoliopsida, Solanales, Solanaceae. The record is from RefSeq and is a predicted model, not a curated record. The transcript is spliced from 2 exons.